Mauremys mutica (yellowpond turtle) is the source of this 238-nucleotide long non-coding RNA. RefSeq lists it as uncharacterized. The record is from RefSeq and is a predicted model, not a curated record. NCBI's taxonomy places the organism in Eukaryota, Metazoa, Chordata, Testudines, Geoemydidae. The transcript is spliced from 3 exons.
CUGACAGCGUCUGAGCCACCAUGGGAACCCGAGGUGACGUGUAUCCAUUGGGGCUCUGCAUCGCCCUGUGCCUGUGGGGCACCGUGGCCCAGACUCCUGGCGUACAAGGUACCACUGGGGACUGCAACAGCCAUAUGCUGUGCCCAGCAAACGCCAAGUGUGUGAACAGCACCCACUGCACCUGCCUGGAUGGAUACCAGUCAGAUGGGAAUCGCUUCUUCACCGACACAACAGAGAC